GAUGUAUCUGGUCAUGUAAAUCCUCUAAGGAUAGCUUUUUGUUCUGUAAUGUGGGUAUUUGUAACGCGCUGUAAUGAAACUUUCGUUUUUUCGUUCAUAUCCGAACUGUUCUUUAUUAUGCAUGAGAUGUUGAGACUCUUUUCUUCGUGGUUUUCUCUGAGAAGUCUACGAUAUUGUUUUUUCCUUCUUAUUUUUUAAUUGAUCCGACCUGGAAUCCAUUUAGCCAGUCUGAGUUUUUAGUUUACUCUUUCCGAGCUGUACCGACCGACCUGCGAGCUUGCUUUCGGUUUACUUUGUCCAAGCGAGACUAAUCCGACCUCCGAGCUUUGCUUUUAACCAAUGGGUUGAGCUUCUGAUCCAUAACUUUCACUUUUCUGUUUUCGAGCUGGACUAUCCAACCUGUGAGCUCUGUCUGUGUUCAAUGAACCGAGCUCUAAGUUUCCUUAGCUUUCGAUUUUACUUUUUCCGAGCUGAACUAACCGACCUGUGCGCUUUGCUUUUAAUCAAUGGGUUGAGUUUCUGACCCAUAGCUUUGUAAGAUUCCGAGACGUCUUCAUCACUUCGUUCUGGGCUCCUGGCCUUUGCUUAAUGAUGAUCCUUCUUAGGUGAUAGGCUGGUCUGACCUUUAUCAUGCUUCCCUCUGUUUGUCUCCUUGGGUCUUUCUAUGACUUACUCUUUUUCCUUAGUUUUUACUGCCUAAGCGGUGAUGAUGUGCAUUUUGCGUGUCAGGUCGUCCUGAGGGAGAGAUUCGACUGGAGCUCGGUUUUAAGGUUUUGACAACUUGAGUUUGUUUUAUGCGAAUAGCGUGUGGGCCUUCGGCUGAUGGGCUAUUGUCGUGGGCCUGGCCCUUUGUAGGGGUGGAGAAGCCCAGCGGUCAUCUCCUUGCCCCUUUACCUUCUCGCCGGUUAUUAUCUAACCGUUGAGAGGGUAAACUUCGAGAGCAAUUAAUGAUCGCGCCGCUCCAAGACAAAACUGCUCAGAACAACGUUUCAUCUCAUUAUUGCCUUUCACUUCGAAUUCUCCCUGUCUUCUGAAGAAACUCGCUCUCUUCUGCUCUCUGUUUUCCUGCAACUUCUUCUGUUUUUUCCAUCCUAUUGUGUUUUCAGGUACGCUUCUUUGCUCUUCCAUGGAGGGUCCAAAGCUCCCAGAUGUCGCUAAUCUUAGGUCGCAUAUCACUUCUUCUACCAUAAAUAAACAUAUUUCUCGAAGGUAUCAAGAUACUCCGCUUUAUCUUAUUCGAGCUCCUUUCCAAAAUGAAAGGAUAGUUCUUCCAAACCCUCCCCCCCUGGUUUGAUGGAUCCCUAGAGGGGGCGUUGUAUAGUCUUUUUUCUCAAACAGAGGGAUUUCGGUCUACCUUUCCCUUUUACUCCUUUUUUUGUCGAUGUUUUCCAAUACUUCGGGGUAACCCCCCGGAUGUUAUCCCCAAAUUCUAUUCUGUUCAUGAGUUGUUUCGAAUCCAUCUGCCGAAGCUGGGGUUUCACACCCACGGCCUGUCUGUUCGUCACUUUCUUCCGUCUCGUUAGGGCGGUGUAGAAUUUCUAUUAUUUUUCCCCCCGUAGUGGGUUGUCUCUUUUCACGGGCUACAAGGAUUCCAUAAAGGGAUGGGUUGAGAAUUUCCUUGUGGCGGAGCUGAAAUUAGAAUCCGCCUUAUCAUGGGGAGUGGAUCUAAGUUGGGAGGAUGUUCCUCCGGGUUGCAAUGACCUGCCCCGGUUGAGCCUUAUUGAGCAGGUGGGAUUGCUUCGACUGACUUCUGUUGAAAAGAAGUAUGACGUCGAGAAGUGUAUGUUCGUGUCUAAUCUUAGGGAUAUCCGGGACACGGGUAUAGUGCCUCGUCCAAUGACUCUGUUUCUU
This 1851-nucleotide long non-coding RNA is filed under the name Manihot esculenta (cassava). RNAcentral describes it as "long non-coding RNA (MESC_LNC011845)". Lineage: Eukaryota; Viridiplantae; Streptophyta; Magnoliopsida; Malpighiales; Euphorbiaceae. The record is from RNAcentral.